This is a non-coding RNA of Phrynosoma platyrhinos (Desert horned lizard), 72 nucleotides long. The record is from the annotation of a GenBank genome assembly. NCBI's taxonomy places the organism in Eukaryota, Metazoa, Chordata, Lepidosauria, Squamata, Phrynosomatidae.
GCCAGUGUGGUGUAGUGGUUUGAACAUUGAACUACAACUCUGGAGGCCUGGGUUUGAAUCCCUACUCAGCCA